GUGUCUCUCAUAUUGAAUAUCCUAAGAGAGAUGCUGGAAUAUUUUGGCGUUCCUCUAGAAGAAGUUUUACCGAUUGGAGAAAAUAAAGAAUGUGGAUCAAGUAGGAAUAUCAUUUGUAUUAUUGGGAAAAUACUUCCAUUAGAACUUUGUAGAGGACUUAAUUUUGAGUUGGUCCCACUCUUGAACUGUGUAGACUCUGUGGAUUUAUGGUUCCAUCUUUUGCUGAUAUUUUCUGUGUGGCAAAUGAUGAAGAAGCCAGCUAGCUCUGAUUUUUUAAUAGUAUACAGAAAAAAGAAAAGAACAAAAUUGAAUUUUUCCAUAUUUUGCAACUAAUUUGGGAUCCAUUGUCCCUACCCUAAGACAUAACAAACCGGUGAAAAAAGAUCUGCCUGCAAAUGAAGCUGCAAUUUAAAAAAGUAGUUGUCCUUGAAGUUAAUUUUUGUUUUGGCUGUCACAUUGCUGCAAUUGUGGAAAUGCAGGAACUUAAAAAGAGUACAAAUUCUAGCUCCUUUGGCUUGAACGACAGGCCCAUUAGUUUGAGACAAAUGCCAACAUGGGGGGCUGCUCAGAUGAGUUUCCAACUUAAAGUCAGAUCAGUUUCCAAGUUCAAUGCUUUCUUUUCCUCCUUGCUUCCUUCUCCACCACCACCACUUCCUCCUCAGUUUUCUUCUCUCCAGCCUCCAUAUUCCUCCCGUACAACCAGGAUCUAAUAUUUGUAACUCAGAUAAUCCAGCUACUGAAAUAAACAAAGAGCAUGCAGGUGCUAGUAAGACCAAUUAUAAUUAUCAUUAAAAAAAGCCAGAGAAAUAUAUUCCAAACAUAUUGGAUGUUCUAAAGGAUAUGAAAAAGGUUAAGCUUAAUGUGAUUGAAUGGUCACCUAGCAGCAAACCCAUUCAUAAGAGGAAAAGACAAAAUUCAUAUUAGGACCCGAUGUCUUUAAUAUCUCAUGCACUUAUGCAGAAAUUUGCAUUUCAAGAUUCUUUUGAGAAAGUAAAUACAUCUUGAGAGUCUUCCCCAUUUUCUAGUUCAAUAACUUCAAGGUUUGGACAUCACAUUUCGCAGUAAGGACAGUGAACUAAAGCAAAACUGAUAAACACAGCAGCUGUUGGCCAAGGUAUCAGCAAC
This 1125-nucleotide long non-coding RNA is filed under the name Homo sapiens (human). RNAcentral's name for it is "non-protein coding lnc-VPS54-11:1". The record is from RNAcentral. Lineage: Eukaryota; Metazoa; Chordata; Mammalia; Primates; Hominidae.